GAUCCUGGCUCAGGAUGAACGCUAGCGGCAGGCUUAACACAUGCAAGUCGAGGGGCAGCAUAAUGGAUAGCAAUAUCUAUGGUGGCGACCGGCGCACGGGUGCGUAACGCGUAUGCAACCUACCUUUAACAGGGGGGAUAACACUGAGAAAUUGGUACUAAUACCCCAUAAUAUCAUAGAAGGCAUCUUUUAUGGUUGAAAAUUCCGAUGGUUAGAGAUGGGGAUGCGUUCCAUUAGGUAGUAGGCGGGGUAACGGCCCACCUAGCCGACGAUGGAUAGGGGUUCUGAGAGGAAGGUCCCCCACAUUGGAACUGAGACACGGUCCAAACUCCUACGGGAGGCAGCAGUGAGGAAUAUUGGUCAAUGGACGAGAGUCUGAACCAGCCAAGUAGCGUGCAGGAAGACGGCCCUAUGGGUUGUAAACUGCUUUUAUAAGGGAAUAAAGUGAGUCUCGUGAGACUUUUGCAUGUACCUUAUGAAUAAGGACCGGCUAAUUCCGUG
Molecule: ribosomal RNA, 501 nt
Filed under: uncultured bacterium
Lineage: Bacteria
Description: bacterial SSU rRNA
Rfam family: Bacterial small subunit ribosomal RNA
Source: RNAcentral